Long non-coding RNA from Apis cerana (Asiatic honeybee), 673 nucleotides. RefSeq lists it as uncharacterized. NCBI's taxonomy places the organism in Eukaryota, Metazoa, Arthropoda, Insecta, Hymenoptera, Apidae. The record is from RefSeq and is a predicted model, not a curated record.
UAUCUAUCCAAACAACAUGGCAUUCAUUGUGAAGCAUUUUUGCAAACCAAUCAAAAGCACCAAUCUUAGCUACAUUAUUCCAUUCUAUACCAUUAUGCCAAUCAUGCACCUGUAAAAUAUAUAAAAUUGUACAUAAAAAUGGGAAAUAACUUACAAUACAUUGACAAACUUGACUAAGUGUCUCUCGAAAAUCUGUCAUUAGUGCCAUAAAUGAUUCAGGACCUUUAGUAUAGAGCAAUACAAUAUCUCUGUUUAUAUUAAUAUCUUCCCAUUUUACCUUUUUUUUAAUAUCCUAUAAAAUAUUUGAUAUAUUGUAUUUAUUAGUUCUAAUAAUUUUAUGAUUAAAAAUAUUUUUAUAGAAAUAUUUUUUCUUACUUUAUAAAUAUAUAUAAUAUAGAUAAGAUAUAUAAUUCCAAUAAUUGUAAAUAAAAUUAUAAUAAUAAUAAUUGGGAAAUAAGAAAAUUUAUCAAAAUUAAUGUUGAUUGGAAUAUUGUGAAAUAUUGUAUUUAUAUUUUGACAACCUAUAUACAAAAUUUUUAUUAUAUUUCAUCAUAUAUGAUUAUAAAUAAAAUAAGUAUAUAUAUAAAAAAAUUAUUAAAUUAUAUUUAAAUUAAAGAAUAUUAAUUAUUAUUGCUUAAAAAAAUAAGAAAAAUACAUAAAUAUGACUACAUUA